CGACGGCGGGGGUCUCCAGAUCGCCGCCGAAGAGGCGAACAAGAAGCGGAAGAGCGAAAAGGGGGCGGAGGCGGAGAUGGCGGCGGUGGAACUGGGGGAGGACCUGGUGUUCGAGGUGCUGAAACGGGCGGACGCGAGGACGCUGGCGGCGGCGGCGUGCGUGAGCCGGCGGUGGCGGAUGAUGGCGGAGGAUGAGCGGCUUUGGGAGGCGGUGUGCGUCCGCCACUGGGCCAGNNNNNNNNNNNNNNNNNNNNCGGGCGGACGCGAGGACGCUGGCGGCGGCGGCGUGCGUGAGCCGGCGGUGGCGGAUGAUGGCGGAGGAUGAGCGGCUUUGGGAGGCGGUGUGCGUCCGCCACUGGGCCAGCAUCGGGUGCGGCAACCAGCAGCUCCGGUCGGUGGUGCUCGCCC
RNAcentral lists this long non-coding RNA (408 nucleotides) under Phoenix dactylifera (date palm). RNAcentral describes it as "long non-coding RNA (PDAC_LNC000277)". Lineage: Eukaryota; Viridiplantae; Streptophyta; Magnoliopsida; Arecales; Arecaceae. The record is from RNAcentral.